This 105-nucleotide microRNA precursor is filed under the name Microtus ochrogaster (prairie vole). Its description in RNAcentral is "miRNA (ENSMOCG00000010018.1)". Lineage: Eukaryota; Metazoa; Chordata; Mammalia; Rodentia; Cricetidae. The record is from RNAcentral.
UCUUGAUGACUCCUAAGGUUAUUUCCUUAGCUCAUCAAGAUAGCAAUUUCCUGGCCUGGAGGGAUGGCUCAGCUGUUAAAGGCUAGGCUCACAACCAAAAAUAUA